GUACUUGACACUAACAAUCUGUUGCUCGCCGUCACUCUAGCCUGUGAAAGGAAUUUAGUGGCAGUGCGAGAUGUUUGCGGAGCGCGUGAUCCUUGCCAUGUUGGCCGUUGCAUUGAGCAUAAUGGCCACGGUCGACGCCCUGGUCCUCUGUCGACGCUUCCCCUCCUGCUGCUACCCCUACGACACUUGUCACGCUCUGUGUCCAUCCUGUCGAGAGGCCAAGUACUUCUGGAACGGCAUUCGCCUCUACCCCAAGUACCCAAAUCGUCCGUGUUCCAUAGGCGGCAAUGUGAUCAAUCCAGAUCCGUACGCUUACCCACGGUCACCCGUCUAUCCUAAUCCUCCAAUAUGUAUAUGAUAGAAUAACCACUCACAUGUUCUACAUGUGAGCUCUCCUUGUCAUCAGGUCACUUGAUUAUGACGGGACUGAGCUCUUCGGGAACGUUGUCGUGAGCUGUGGUGCUCAGGCGCUCCAACUAACUAACUUCCAGGGGGUGCAUGACCUGCCAUAAAGAAGCAACAUGAACUUGGUAUCAGACUCUUUUUUUCUUCUAUACAGCCUCCAGAGGAAUUUCUAAUUGGAAGUCAUGUCACCACAACUAGGAAACGCUCAAUGGCCUCCCGACCCAGCCUCUCCUAGCUUUUCUUGGGCCAAGCUUGGGUGAGCAACAGGGGAAGUGUGCGGCUCUUCCACAAGGGAUCCAAGGUCGUAUUAUGUUAAUAAUACUUACAAAAAUGGAACAAAAAAAUUGAAUUAUUUCUAACGGAAGUAUUAUUAGCAAUUAAUCUCCGAAAAUGAAAUCAUCUCUGUCGGAAGGAAUCAAGACAGUAUUUUCCAGUCGGUCUGUUUAAAAAUACGGCCGGUAUUCCCUAAGUGAUUGAUGAACUCUGGUGACCAGUAAUAGAGUGUUUAUCACUAUUUGGAGAACCUCUGUGAGGUUGCCUGUAGUGAUUCCAGAUUGUGUGCAGUGUACAAGUAUUUAUUAUCAACCAGGAAGGUCUGGUUUUUUCUUUUUUUUUCUUUACGCAAAUAAAGACAUUUUGUAAAAAGUAUUAACUGCGUA
Molecule: long non-coding RNA, 1064 nt
Organism: Macrobrachium nipponense
Lineage: Eukaryota; Metazoa; Arthropoda; Malacostraca; Decapoda; Palaemonidae
Exons: 2
Source: RefSeq, a predicted model, not a curated record